UUAUAUAUUAAAAGUUCAAUCCCUU
Molecule: unclassified non-coding RNA, 25 nt
Filed under: Mus musculus (house mouse)
Lineage: Eukaryota; Metazoa; Chordata; Mammalia; Rodentia; Muridae
Description: oocyte_clustered_small_RNA6037
Source: RNAcentral